RNAcentral lists this ribosomal RNA (215 nucleotides) under uncultured bacterium. RNAcentral describes it as "partial 16S ribosomal RNA". It matches the Rfam family "Bacterial small subunit ribosomal RNA", at positions 1285 to 1500 of the family's 1533-position model. The record is from RNAcentral.
GUCCCAGUUCGGAUCGCAGGCUGCAACCCGCCUGCGUGAAGUUGGAAUCGCUAGUAAUCGCGGAUCAGCAUGCCGCGGUGAAUACGUUCCCGGGCCUUGUACACACCGCCCGUCACACCAUGAGAGUCGGGAACACCCGAAGUCCGUAGCCUAACCGCAAGGGGGCGCGGCCGAAGGUGGGUUCGAUAAUUGGGGUGAAGUCGUAACAAGGUACC